GGGGAAUAUUGGGCAAUGGGCGAAAGCCUGACCCAGCAACGCCGCGUGAAGGAAGAAGGUUUUCGGAUUGUAAACUUCUGUCCUCAGGGAAGAAGGAAGUGACGGUACCUGAGGAGGAAGCCCCGGCUAACUACGUGCCAGCAGCCGCGGUAAUACGUAGGGGGCAAGCGUUAUCCGGAAUUACUGGGCGUAAAGGGUGCGUAGGCGGUUUAUCAAGUCAGGGGUGAAAGGCUACGGCUCAACCGUAGUGAGCCUCUGAAACUGGUGAACUUGAGUGUAGGAGAGGAAAGUGGAAUUCCCAGUGUAGCGGUGAAAUGCGUAGAUAUUGGGAGGAACACCAGUGGCGAAGGCGACUUUCUGGACUACAACUGACGCUGAGGCACGAAAGCGUGGGGAGCAAACA
Molecule: ribosomal RNA, 403 nt
Filed under: uncultured Acetoanaerobium sp.
Lineage: Bacteria; Bacillati; Bacillota; Clostridia; Peptostreptococcales; Filifactoraceae
Description: bacterial SSU rRNA
Rfam family: Bacterial small subunit ribosomal RNA
Source: RNAcentral